This is a non-coding RNA of Myotis lucifugus (little brown bat), 75 nucleotides long. NCBI's taxonomy places the organism in Eukaryota, Metazoa, Chordata, Mammalia, Chiroptera, Vespertilionidae. The record is from Rfam.
GGCAGUUCUCAAGUGACACACCCCAGAAUCAGGCUCCCUCCUCUCUGGUUCCAGGUGCAUUACCCGAGAACCGCA